Molecule: ribosomal RNA, 253 nt
Filed under: uncultured bacterium
Lineage: Bacteria
Description: partial 16S ribosomal RNA
Rfam family: Bacterial small subunit ribosomal RNA
Source: RNAcentral
UACGAAGGGGGCUAGCGUUGUUCGGAAUUACUGGGCGUAAAGCGCACGUAGGCGGAUACUUAAGUUAGGGGUGAAAUCCCAGAGCUCAACUCUGGAACUGCCUUUAAUACUGGGUAUCUCGAGUCCGGAAGAGGUGAGUGGAAUUCCGAGUGUAGAGGUGAAAUUCGUAGAUAUUCGGAGGAACACCAGUGGCGAAGGCGGCUCACUGGUCCGGUACUGACGCUGAGGCGCGAAAGCUAGGGGAGCAAACGGG